Molecule: long non-coding RNA, 557 nt
Organism: Gallus gallus (chicken)
Lineage: Eukaryota; Metazoa; Chordata; Aves; Galliformes; Phasianidae
Source: Ensembl
CAAAUUGCCACAGAAGGACAUGCUUGACAAUUACUGUGCACCCCUGACAACAACACUAAUGUAUUUCCGGUGUUGCUUGCAUGCUCUUUCCAAACAGGUUAUAUCAACAUUUAUCGGAGACACAUUCCAAACCUAAGCGGACACCUGAAAAUAAGUUUAUUUACUGAAGAGCUGAACCUCAUUGGACAAGACCCAGCCCUCACAGGAGGGAAUGGAAAACAACAGGACAGCCAGCUGGAGCGCUUAUCCCAAACCAGGCAAGAUUCAACAGCAGGAUUCCCUGCAGCCGGAGAUCUGCAAGACACACAGUGCUCUUUGUAGAAUAUAACCAGAAAAGGCUGUAUUGAGUUGAAGUUCCUGAAAGUCAGUGAUGAUCUCUGGAUCUUUCUCAGUUUUCUUUGGAUCUCAGUAGCAUGUAUUUUACCUCUGAAGAUGAAAUGAGUUCAGAUUUUGCUUUCUAUGAUGGUAAAGUUAUGCAAAGAUUUAUAUAUUCCUAGUAUUCUUAAUACACACUUUUUCUCUUGACUGUCAGAAGUCAAGGAAGUUAAACAUUUUAG